This 967-nucleotide long non-coding RNA is filed under the name Numida meleagris (helmeted guineafowl). Its description in RNAcentral is "lncRNA (ENSNMEG00000002198.1)". The record is from RNAcentral. Lineage: Eukaryota; Metazoa; Chordata; Aves; Galliformes; Numididae.
CACAGUCUUCCAUUAAGCUGUCUUUACAUCAGUGAAAGUCAUAUAACAGUACUCAGCUUGAAUGAGUAUGGCAUUCUGGAGACGUGUGAGGAAAUUCAGCCUCCAGUCAGAGCUCAGGCCAGUGGGCCUGUGGGCCUGUUGACCACCUGUCACAGACACAGAUCCAGAGAUAACUCUGUGAUGCUGAGGCACAAGAUCAGUGGAAUCAGGAACAUUUCCUUAGGUGCUGAGCACUGUGGAAGCAUUCAGAUCAUCUUCCUGCACUGAGAGAAAACACAAACGGAUUAGAAAAAAAUGCUGAAAUGAAGUUGGACUGAGUAGCCUGCAGACAGCAAAUGCUGAAGUAGAAGUAAAACAAGGACAUACUGGGCAUGAGGUGCAGGACUUCUGAGUGAGCAACACUUCAGAGGAACCCAGAAUCAUCCAUUUCUGUAAAUGCAAGGCAAGAUUUAUUUGUUUGUACAUCGUUUCUUUUGCCAUGUGUAUGGCACAAGUAAUGGAUCUUGCCUCUUUGACAGCUGUGCAUAAAUCAUGCUUUUUCAUAAAUUAUCCUUUAUGUUAGAGUAAGCAUUCCUUACUUUUAUUUAUUAUGAAAUAGAUUUUCCUGUUAUUAAACAUUGCUAGUUUAUAAUUAAUGCCAAAGUAUAUUGGUCUUAUCCUCAAACAUUUCUAAGUACACUGCUUUGCUUGGGGAACAAAAAAUGAAAUCCUUGUGCCCCAAGUACUUUCUACUUUCUGUCUUUGUGUUUGUAGUUGGCAUUGUGGCACUCAUUCAUGCAGUGUCCAACAAUCUUUACUUCAAACUAUCUUAAGUGUAUAAGUGCAAAUAGUUCUUUUUGACCUUGGAGAUAUUUUUGUGUUAUGCUGAAUGUAAAUUACUGCAUUCAAUCUCAGAGGGAAAUGUGCUUUUAUGAGUACCUUUUGUAGGCUUUGAUUCUCUGUUUGGCAUAUCAUCUAGAAAAUGUCA